Molecule: ribosomal RNA, 265 nt
Filed under: uncultured archaeon
Lineage: Archaea
Description: partial 16S ribosomal RNA
Rfam family: Archaeal small subunit ribosomal RNA
Source: RNAcentral
ACACGACUACAUUAGAUACCCGUGUAGUCCUAGCCGUAAACGAUACUCGCUAGGUGUCGGCCACGGUGCGACCGUUGUCGGUGCCGUAGGGAAGCCGUGAAGCGAGCCACCUGGGAAGUACGGCCGCAAGGCUGAAACUUAAAGGAAUUGGCGGGGGAGCACCACAACGGGUGGAGCUUGCGGUUUAAUCGGAUUCAACGCCGGAAAUCUUACCGGGACCGACAGCAACAUGAAGGCCAGGCUGAAGACUUUGCCGGAUUAGCUG